ACACGCAUGACACACUGCAUAUCAAUAAGCGGAGGAAAAGAAACUAACAAGGAUUCCCUAGUAACGGCGAGCUGAAGCGGGAAGAGCUCAAAUUUGAAAUCUUCAAGGUUUUACCUUGACGAAUUGUAGUUUAAAGAAGUGUUUUCUGUUGGAGUUUUGGUAAAAGUUCUUUGGAAUAGGACAUCAUAGAGGGUGGGAAUCCCGUAUUUGACCAUUAUUUCCAGCUGUGUGAUACACUUUCAAAGAGUCGGAUUGUUUGGGAAUGCAGUCCAAAAUGGGUGGUAAAUUUCAUCUAAAGCUAAAUAUUGGCGAGAGACCGAUAGCGAACAAGUACCGUGAGGGAAAGAUGAAAAGAACUCUGAAAAGAGAGUUAAACAGUACGUGAAAUUGUCAAAAGGGAAGCGUUUGACACCUGUGUUGUUUUCUCGAAAAUCAAUUAAAAAUGAUGGGAUUUUGUGUUGUAUUGACUUUAUCAGCUUUCUGCACUUUUUUCUUAUCUUUUUUAAUGCACUUUUCGUUUAACAAGUCAACAUCAAUUUCUUUUGUUGUAAAAGAGUCAUUGGAAGGUGGCUUUUUCUUCGGAAAAAGUGUUUAUAGCCUUUGGCUUCUGCAAUCGGAGAGAUUGAGGUCCGCAGCGUAGAUCCUUCGGGGUUAGAUACAUUUGUGCUAAGCUAUAGUUCUUUAUAGACAACUUGUUGACUAUAAUCAAUCCUGUAACUUACUCGCUUAUGCUAUUUUACCUACGCUUAGGAUGUUGAAGACUCUACAGAGAU
RNAcentral lists this ribosomal RNA (773 nucleotides) under uncultured Neocallimastigales. Its description in RNAcentral is "partial large subunit ribosomal RNA". It matches the Rfam family "Eukaryotic large subunit ribosomal RNA", at positions 23 to 630 of the family's 3401-position model. Lineage: Eukaryota; Fungi; Neocallimastigomycota; Neocallimastigomycetes; Neocallimastigales. The record is from RNAcentral.